Molecule: ribosomal RNA, 115 nt
Filed under: Effusibacillus lacus
Lineage: Bacteria; Bacillati; Bacillota; Bacilli; Caryophanales; Alicyclobacillaceae
Source: RNAcentral
CCUAGUGACAAUGGCGGAGAGGAUACACCCGUUCCCAUCCCGAACACGGAAGUUAAGCUCUCCAGCGCCGAUGGUACUUGGGCAGGAGCCCCGGGAGAGUAGGUCGUCGCUAGGC